AGGACGAACGCUGGCGGCGUGCUUAACACAUGCAAGUCGAACGAGAAUCACUGGAAGGAGUUUUCGUACAACGGAAGGUGAGGACAGUGGCGGACGGGUGAGUAACGCGUGAGGAACCUGCCUUUCAGAGGGGGACAACAGUUGGAAACGACUGCUAAUACCGCAUGACACAUAGAGAUCGCAUGGUUUUUAUGUCAAAGAUUUAUCGCUGAAAGAUGGCCUCGCGUCUGAUUAGCUAGUUGGUGAGGUAACGGCCCACCAAGGCGACGAUCAGUAGCCGGACUGAGAGGUUGACCGGCCACAUUGGGACUGAGAUACGGCCCAGACUCCUACGGGAGGCAGCAGUGGGGAAUAUUGGGCAAUGGGCGCAAGCCUGACCCAGCAACGCCGCGUGAAGGAAGAAGGCUUUCGGGUUGUAAACUUCUUUUGUCGGGGACGAGUAGAAGACGGUACCUGGCGAAUAAGCCACGGCUAACUACGUGCCAGCAGCCGCGGUAAUACGUAGGUGGCAAGCGUUGUCCGGAUUUACUGGGUGUAAAGGGCGUGUAGCCGGGAAGGCAAGUCAGAUGUGAAAUCCACGGGCUUAACUCGUGAACUGCAUUUGAAACUACUUUUCUUGAGUAUCGGAGAGGCAAUCGGAAUUCCUAGUGUAGCGGUGAAAUGCGUGGAUAUUAGGAGGAACACCAGUGGCGAAGGCGGAUUGCUGGACGACAACUGACGGUGAGGCGCGAAAGCGUGGGGAGCAAACAGGAUUAGAUACCCUGGUAGUCCACGCUGUAAACGACAAUAAGGGGGUGCGGGGACUGACCCCCUGCGUGCCGCAGUUAACACAAUAAGUAUUCUCCCGGGGAGGGGGAUCUCGAGGUGGAAACUCAAAAGGAAUUGACGGGGGCCCGCCCAAGCGGUGAAUUAUUUGUUUUUUUUUGACGCAACGCGAAGAACCUUACCAGGGCUUGACAUCCUACUAAUGAAGUAGAGAUACAUCAGGUGCCCUUCGGGGAAAGUAGAGACAGGAGGUGCAUGGUUGUCGUCAGCUCGUGUCGUGAGAUGUUGGGUUAAGUCCCGCAUCGAGCGCAACCCCUAUUUUUAGUUGUUACGCAAGAGCACUCUAGCGAGACUGCCGUUGACAAAACGGAGGAAGGUGGGGGGGACGUCAAAUCAUCAUGCCCCUUAUGUCCUGGGCUACACACGUAAUACAAUGGCGGUCAACAGAGGGAUGCAAAACCGUAAGGUGGAGCGAACCCCUAAAAGCCGUCUCAGUUCAGAUUGUGGGGUGCAACCCGCCCACACGAAGUCGGAAUCGUUAGUAAUCGCGGAUCAGCAUGCCGCGGCG
Molecule: ribosomal RNA, 1333 nt
Filed under: uncultured bacterium
Lineage: Bacteria
Description: bacterial SSU rRNA
Rfam family: Bacterial small subunit ribosomal RNA
Source: RNAcentral